GAUGAACGCUGGCGGCGUGCUUAACACAUGCAAGUCGAACGAUGAACCUCACUUGUGGGGGGAUUAGUGGCGAACGGGUGAGUAACACGUGAGUAACCUGCCCUUAACUCUGGGAUAAGC
RNAcentral lists this ribosomal RNA (120 nucleotides) under uncultured bacterium. Its description in RNAcentral is "partial 16S ribosomal RNA". It matches the Rfam family "Bacterial small subunit ribosomal RNA", at positions 28 to 148 of the family's 1533-position model. The record is from RNAcentral.